RNAcentral lists this ribosomal RNA (257 nucleotides) under uncultured bacterium. RNAcentral describes it as "partial 16S ribosomal RNA". It matches the Rfam family "Bacterial small subunit ribosomal RNA", at positions 524 to 776 of the family's 1533-position model. The record is from RNAcentral.
UACGGGGGGGAGCAAGCGUUGUUCGGAUUUACUGGGCGUAAAGGGCGCGUAGGCGGUCGUGACAAGUCACUUGUGAAAUCUCCGGGCUUAACUCGGAACGGUCAAGUGAUACUGUCGGACUAGAGUACAGAAGGGGGCAACUGGAAUUCUCGGUGUAGCGGUGAAAUGCGUAGAUAUCGAGAGGAACACCUGCGGCGAAGGCGGGUUGCUGGGCUGAUACUGACGCUGAGGCGCGAAAGCCAGGGGGAGCGAACGGG